This 1053-nucleotide long non-coding RNA is filed under the name Octopus vulgaris (common octopus). Lineage: Eukaryota; Metazoa; Mollusca; Cephalopoda; Octopoda; Octopodidae. The record is from RNAcentral.
AUGAGUUAGAGGAAACCUCUUUUGCUGUAUAUGAAUGCAUGUGUGAAGGUGGAUGGCUCAGUGGUUAGAGCGUCGGGCUCACAAUCAUGAGGUAGUGUGUUCGAAUCCCGGACCAGUCUGCUUGUUGUGUUCUUGAGCAAGACACUUUAUUUCACGUUGCUCCAGUCACUCAGCUGUAGAAAUGAGUUGUAAUGUCUCUGGUGCCAAACUGUAUCGGCCCCUUUGCCUUUCACUUGGAUAACAUCGGUGGUGUUGGACAGAUGAGGCUGGUAUGCAUGGGCGAUUGCUAGUCCUCCACAAAACAACCUUAUACGUAUGUAUAUAUAUAAGGAGAACUUUCUAAGUGCAAUCCCAUGGUCAUUCAUAACCAAAAGGGGAGCUUUACUCUUUUUAUGCACUCUCUACCCAAAUUUUUUUUUUUGUCAUCCAGCAUCAUAUAUUUCUAAUAUGCAUAAAAAAAUCUAUCUUUAAAGACAGGAAAGAGACGGCUGUGAGUAUGAUGCACACCUGCAUAGUUGCACACCUGCAUAGCUGCACAUAUACUAUUCUGCAUUUAAUAUAGGGUUUGAUUUUUAAAUUUCGAAUGCUCUAGUUUAUGUGCAACAAUUUGUAACUGAUCUAUGAAGCAUAUACAUACAUAUUUUUUUAUAUAAAUACAUAUAAAUAUAAAGGCACACACACACACACACACACACACAUAUAUCUCCAUCUAUCAAUAUCUUUAUAUGUAUACUUACGUACACACACAUAUAUAUAUGCAUUUAUACAUAAAUAUAGUUUAUUUCUAGGCAUAUACAUACACACAUACACACAGAUAAAUGAAUAUGUAUUUAUUCACAAAACACACACACAUACAUACACACAUAUAUGUUUAUUUAUAAACAUAAAUACAUAUACACAAAGAUGUGCAUAUGUAUUUAUCCACAAAAUUGCAUGUAUAACAAAUGUUUAUGAAUACACACACACACACACACACACAAACUCUUAUACAUACAUAAACACAUAUACAUAUAUACAUGUAUAUACAUACAUAUAUUUAUGCAUACAUAUAUA